Molecule: ribosomal RNA, 1343 nt
Filed under: uncultured bacterium
Lineage: Bacteria
Description: 16S ribosomal RNA
Rfam family: Bacterial small subunit ribosomal RNA
Source: RNAcentral
GACGAACGCUGGCGGCGUGCUUAACACAUGCAAGUCUAACGGAAAGGCCCUGCUUUUGUGGGGUGCUCGAGUGGCGAACGGGUGAGUAACACGUGAGUAACCUGCCCUUGACUUUGGGAUAACUUCAGGAAACUGGGGCUAAUACCGGAUAGGAGCUCCUGCUGCAUGGUGGGGGUUGAAAAGUUUCGGCGGUUGGGGAUGGACUCGCGGCUUAUCAGCUUGUUGGUGGGGUAGUGGCUUACCAAGGCUUUGACGGGUAGCCGGCCUGAGAGGGUGACCGGCCACAUUGGGACUGAGAUACGGCCCAGACUCCUACGGGAGGCAGCAGUGGGGAAUAUUGCACAAUGGGCGGAAGCCUGAUGCAGCAACGCCGCGUGCGGGAUGACGGCCUUCGGGUUGUAAACCGCUUUCGCCUGUGACGAAGCGUGAGUGACGGUAAUGGGUAAAGAAGCACCGGCUAACUACGUGCCAGCAGCCGCGGUGAUACGUAGGGUGCGAGCGUUGUCCGGAUUUAUUGGGCGUAAAGGGCUCGUAGGUGGUUGAUCGCGUCGGAAGUGUAAUCUUGGGGCUUAACCCUGAGCGUGCUUUCGAUACGGGUUGACUUGAGGAAGGUAGGGGAGAAUGGAAUUCCUGGUGGAGCGGUGGAAUGCGCAGAUAUCAGGAGGAACACCAGUGGCGAAGGCGGUUCUCUGGGCCUUUCCUGACGCUGAGGAGCGAAAGCGUGGGGAGCGAACAGGCUUAGAUACCCUGGUAGUCCACGCUGUAAACGGUGGGUACUAGGUGUGGGGUCCAUUCCACGGGUUCCGUGCCGUAGCUAACGCUUUAAGUACCCCGCCUGGGGAGUACGGCCGCAAGGCUAAAACUCAAAGGAAUUGACGGGGCCCCGCACAAGCGGCGGAGCAUGCGGAUUAAUUCGAUGCAACGCGUAGAACCUUACCUGGGUUUGACAUGGAUCGGGAGUGCUCAGAGAUGGGUGUGCCUCUUUUGGGGUCGGUUCACAGGUGGUGCAUGGCUGUCGUCAGCUCGUGUCGUGAGAUGUUGGGUUAAGUCCCGCAACGAGCGCAACCCUUGUUCACUGUUGCCAGCACGUUAUGGUGGGGACUCAGUGGAGACCGCCGGGGUCAACUCGGAGGAAGGUGGGGAUGACGUCAAGUCAUCAUGCCCCUUAUGUCCAGGGCUUCACGCAUGCUACAAUGGCUGGUACAGAGAGUGGCGAGCCUGUGAGGGUGAGCGAAUCUCGGAAAGCCGGUCUCAGUUCGGAUUGGGGUCUGCAACUCGACCUCAUGAAGUCGGAGUCGCUAGUAAUCGCAGAUCAGCAACGCUGCGGUGAAUACGUUCCCGGG